UGGGCGGCUACACAUGCAGUCGAACGGUAACAGGAAGCAGCUUGCUGCUUCGCUGACGAGUGGCGGACGGGUGAGUAAUGUCUGGGAAACUGCCUGAUGGAGGGGGAUAACUACUGGAAACGGUAGCUAAUACCGCAUAACGUCGCAAGACCAAAGAGGGGGACCUUCGGGCCUCUUGCCAUCGGAUGUGCCCAGAUGGGAUUAGCUAGUAGGUGGGGUAACGGCUCACCUAGGCGACGAUCCCUAGCUGGUCUGAGAGGAUGACCAGCCACACUGGAACUGAGACACGGUCCAGACUCCUACGGGAGGCAGCAGUGGGGAAUAUUGCACAAUGGGCGCAAGCCUGAUGCAGCCAUGCCGCGUGUAUGAAGAAGGCCUUCGGGUUGUAAAGUACUUUCAGCGGGGAGGAAGGCGAUAAGGUUAAUAACCUUGUCGAUUGACGUUACCCGCAGAAGAAGCACCGGCUAACUCCGUGCCAGCAGCCGCGGUAAUACGGAGGGUGCAAGCGUUAAUCGGAAUUACUGGGCGUAAAGCGCACGCAGGCGGUCUGUCAAGUCGGAUGUGAAAUCCCCGGGCUCAACCUGGGAACUGCAUUCGAAACUGGCAGGCUAGAGUCUUGUAGAGGGGGGUAGAAUUCCACGUGUAGCGGUGAAAUGCGUA
RNAcentral lists this ribosomal RNA (660 nucleotides) under uncultured bacterium. RNAcentral's name for it is "bacterial SSU rRNA". It matches the Rfam family "Bacterial small subunit ribosomal RNA", at positions 43 to 692 of the family's 1533-position model. The record is from RNAcentral.